RNAcentral lists this ribosomal RNA (257 nucleotides) under uncultured Septoglomus. RNAcentral's name for it is "partial large subunit ribosomal RNA". It matches the Rfam family "Eukaryotic large subunit ribosomal RNA", at positions 359 to 565 of the family's 3401-position model. The record is from RNAcentral. Lineage: Eukaryota; Fungi; Glomeromycota; Glomeromycetes; Glomerales; Glomeraceae.
GAAAGAUGAAAAGAACUUUGAAAAGAGAGAUAAACAGUACGUGGAAUUGUUGAAAGGGAAACGAUUGAAGUCAGUCGUACCAGCGGGAAAUCAACCUUUCGAGUGGGGGUUUUGGAGUUUUGAAGAGUGUCAAAACCUUUGAGAUUUCAAAAUUUUCGCUCCUUUGGUGUACUUUCUCGUGGGUAGGUUAACAUCGAUUUUGAUCAUCAUAAGAAGAUUGGAGGAAUGUAGCUUCGAUCUUGUAUUGAAGUGUUAUA